AAAGAAGAAGAAGAGGCGUUGCAUUCAGAGAGAAGAGAGAUACUGAAGAAAGAGAGAGGCGGAGAACGAGAAAGCAGAAGAGAGGAGGGAAUAGUAAAGAAUUCAGGAAUAGCCUUUUUUUUUUUUGGUCUACGUAAACGUUAGGUUUUCCGUAGAUCAAGGAAAAGUCAACCGCUUUUACGUUGCAACAACACGAGGACAGAGAGAGGAGAGACGGCACGGAAGAGCUUCUCUUUGUACUUCAAAUAAGUGGAGACGCUACUGCUGGUUUGUAGGCUCUCCUAUACCUUUAUACGCUCUAUUCUAAUACCGUAAAUGAACAAUUAUAUAGGCUUUUUAUUUUAAUCUAUAUAUUUUUUUUAAAGUCAAUUUGAUUUGGAAACCACGAAGUGAACCUAAUGCCGUGUUCUUUUUUUGCAAGAAGGGAACAAUAGCAGUAAUCUAGCUGAAUUGUCUAGCUACUCUUUAUGAGAAUCACGGCUGUUUAGCGACCAACAAUACAAAACAAGGCGUCUGAAAUUCGCUCUACCACCACAACUUCCAGGAUCUUCUCCAUCGGACCGACCAUGGCUGCGGUUACCAGCCCAGAGACGAGCCCUCAACCCCGGGUAUAUUUCCAGACGGUAGCCUCCGGUUCAACCGAAGAACCGGAGAUACCUGUUCGGAAACAAGGGCGAGUAACCGUCAAAUAUGACCGGAAAGAACUAAGGAAGAGACUAAAUCUGGAGGAAUGGAUAAUCGACCAGCUAACGGCUCUUUACAACUGUGAGGAGGAGGCUAUACCAGAGUUGGAGAUAGAUGUGGAUGAGCUGCUGGACAUGCCUAGUGAUGAUGACAGAGGAGCCAGAGUUAAAGAUCUCCUGGUAGACUGUUACAAACCUACUGAGGACUUUGUGUCAGAUCUGCUGGAUAAGAUACGUGGCAUGCAGAAGCUCACCACCCCCCAGAAGAAAUAACCUCAACCCUGAGUCACCCCUCCUCUUCACCCCCUGCCUCCUCCCGCCUCCCUCCCUCACUCCAACCUCACCCCACAGAAGAAAUAGGAGCUUGGCUUCCUCAGAGAUGGAGGAGGAAGAGGGAGGAGAAAAAGAGGAGAGAAGGGGCAGAGGAGUAAGAGAGGUGAUUGAAGCAGCCAAUCACAUCUAAGCAGGGUGUAUGAUGUCCUGUGAUUUUUAUUUUAAUGUUUUAUUUAGUUUACAUUUAUUUAGAUUACAUUUUUUUAAAGGUGGUUUGUAUUGUUGUUAAAUGAUCAAGCGAUCGGUCAUAUUUCUCAUGUUAAUGAGUGAACAUAGCAUACUAUAUUGUAGCUGUAAGCCAAGCCCAGGAUAUAUUCUGAGUUUUAGUAGCCAAGCCAGGAUAUAUUCUGAGUUUUAGUAGCCAAGCCCAGGAUAUAUUCUGAGUUUUAGUAGCCAAGCCAGGAUAUAUUCUGAGUUUUAGUAGCCAAGCCCAGGAUGUAUUCUGAGUUUUAGUAGCCAAGCCCAGGAUAUAUUCUGAGUUUUAGUAGCCAAGCCCAGGAUGUAUUCUGAGUUUUAGUAGCCAAGCCCAGGAUAUAUUCUGAGUUUUAGUAGCCAAGCCCAGGAUAUAUUCUGAGUUUUAGUAGCCAAGCCCAGGAUAUAUUCUGAGUUUUAGUAGCCAAGCCAGGAUAUAUUCUGAGUUUUAGAAUGAGUCCCAAAAUGGCACGUUAUUUAUUACCUUCUAUAGUCCAUUACAUUUGACCAGGGCUCUGGUCCAAAGUAGUGGACUAGGUUUUAAGGGUGCCGUUUGGGGAUGGGAGAGACUCCUAUGUAUAGUACAGUGUGUGUGUGUGUGUGUGUGUGUGUGUGUGUGUGUGUGUGUGUAGUCUAGACCUCAGUGAAAACACAGACCGGGGGACUUGACAAAGUGACCUUUUUUUCCUCUUUAGUUCUAUCUCUUUAUCACUGUUUAUUGUUCUGUCAGAUAUUUCAUGUUCCAUAAUGUGCAGGUGUAAGGCCUUUGUCAGUGAGGACUCUUGUAGAGAGAUUUCAGGAGACGAGUAAACCAAUGAGGGAGGGAGGGAGGGACGGAGGGAGGCACUGGGUAGUGGAAAAUGUGUCGAUGUGUUCAUCCAGAUAGCCACACACACACCCAGGGAACAGCAGAAACACAGACCACAGCUGCUGCUCCUUCAUACUCUCACACAGAUGUGAACACUGGUACACACACACAUAAACACACACUGGCUCUCUCUCGUCAACACACACACGGGAAGGAGGGGGGGUAUAAUCAUUGAGAGAGGGAUAAAUGGAGAAAAAGAGGGAGAAUCAGAGGUCUUACUCUUCCUGGCUUGGCUGCCUCACAAGGCCUUAGUGUUGCCAAUCAUGCAGCUCUCUCACUCACCCCAUGUCUCUCUUUGGCCCUCACUCCUUCCUCUGUCUCCUUCCCUUUCUACUUCCAGCAAUCUACAGAUGACUCCAUCCCUCCCUCCAUCUCUCUCUCUCCUCUCCCUCCAUCUAUCCCUCUCGCUCUCUCCUUCCCUCCCUCCAUCUAUCCCUCUCGCUCUCUCCUUCCCUCCCUCCAUCUAUCCCUCUCGCUCUCUCCUUCCCUCCCUCCAUCUAUCCCUCUCGCUCCCUCCCUCCAUCCCACCAUCCCUCCCUCCUUCCCACCAUCCCACCCUCUCCCUCCUUCCCUUCCAUCUCUCUCUCCCUCCUUCCCUUCCAUCUCUCUCUCCCUCCUUCCCUUCCAUCUCUCUCUUCCUCCUUUCCUUCAUCCAGCUCUAUCCUUCCAUCCCUCCAUCUCUUGUUUAAUAACUGACGUUGCCUUAGGUCUAUAUUGAAGUUACAAACCAAAUAAAAGGAGACGUCCAUUUUUAACAACAAUUUUUAAACAAAAAAAAAUGAUCCUGUUGUUGUUUAGGAAGAGGUCAUCUAGAGGUCAUCUAGAGGUCAUCUAGAGGUCAUCUAGAGGUCAUCUAGACCUCUUUACGUUCUUUUAGAUGUGAAUAUCUAUUCUAGGUCAAUUAUUACUGUGUGUACUAUUAUAAUACCUGGUGCGCAUCCCAAAUGGAACCCUGUUCCCUAUAUAUAGGGAAUAGGGUGCCAGCCCUGGUCUAAAGUAGUGCCCUAUAUAGGGAAUAGGGUGCCAGCCCUGGUCUAUAGUAGUGCCCUAUAUAGGGAAUAGGGUGC
Molecule: long non-coding RNA, 3143 nt
Filed under: Salmo salar (Atlantic salmon)
Lineage: Eukaryota; Metazoa; Chordata; Actinopteri; Salmoniformes; Salmonidae
Description: lncRNA (ENSSSAG00000086814.1)
Source: RNAcentral